This is a non-coding RNA of Vicia faba (fava bean), 207 nucleotides long. Lineage: Eukaryota; Viridiplantae; Streptophyta; Magnoliopsida; Fabales; Fabaceae. The record is from the annotation of a GenBank genome assembly.
AUGGUGAUUUUGCAGAGAGAUCUAGAAGGAAUGAAUUCAGGUGAGUUUCUUGUGAUUUUUCCAGUGAAAGUGUUGAAUGAAUUUUAUAUCCUUCCCUGUAAAUCUGAAUUUGUUAUGAUGUUAAAAACUGAGCUAGAAAAAUCGGUUAGGACAAUUAGAGAGUUAUUUAGGGGUUAUGGAAUUCUGUUAUUUUUCUGUUAUAGGUAG